Molecule: ribosomal RNA, 301 nt
Filed under: uncultured bacterium
Lineage: Bacteria
Description: partial 16S ribosomal RNA
Rfam family: Bacterial small subunit ribosomal RNA
Source: RNAcentral
CAGCAGCCGCGGGAAUACGUAGGGUGCAAGCGUUAAUCGGAAUUACUGGGCGUAAAGCGUGCGCAGGCGGUUUGUUAAGACAGAUGUGAAAUCCCCGGGCUCAACCUGGGAACUGCAUUUGUGACUGGCAAGCUAGAGUAUGGCAGAGGGGGGUGGAGUUCCGCGUGUAGCAGUGAAAUGCGUAGAUAUGCGGAGGAACACCGAUGGCGAAGGCAGCCCCCUGGGCCAAUACUGACGCUCAUGCACGAAAGCGUGGGGAGCAAACAGGAUUAGAUACCCCGGUAGUCCCUGUCUCUUAUAC